GACGAACGCUGGCGGCGCGCCUAACACAUGCAAGUCGAACGGAGCUGAGAGAAGCUUGCUUUUCUUAGCUUAGUGGCGAACGGGUGAGUAACGCGUGAGUAACCUGCCCUGGAGUGGGGGACAACAGUUGGAAACGACUGCUAAUACCGCAUAAGCCCACGAUCCGGCAUCGGAUUGAGGGAAAAGGAUUUAUUCGCUUCAGGAUGGACUCGCGUCCAAUUAGCUAGUUGGUGAGGUAACGGCCCACCAAGGCGACGAUUGGUAGCCGGACUGAGAGGUUGAACGGCCACAUUGGGACUGAGACACGGCCCAGACUCCUACGGGAGGCAGCAGUGGGGGAUAUUGCACAAUGGGGGAAACCCUGAUGCAGCGACGCCGCGUGGAGGAAGAAGGUUUUCGGAUUGUAAACUCCUGUCGUGAGGGGCGAUAAUGACGGUACCUAACAAGAAAGCACCGGCUAACUACGUG
This 468-nucleotide ribosomal RNA is filed under the name uncultured bacterium. RNAcentral describes it as "partial 16S ribosomal RNA". It matches the Rfam family "Bacterial small subunit ribosomal RNA", at positions 28 to 507 of the family's 1533-position model. The record is from RNAcentral.